This 50-nucleotide ribosomal RNA is filed under the name Corynebacterium sp. HMSC077C02. RNAcentral describes it as "partial 23S ribosomal RNA". The record is from RNAcentral. Lineage: Bacteria; Bacillati; Actinomycetota; Actinomycetes; Mycobacteriales; Corynebacteriaceae.
GUGUUGUGUUGUAAGGGCGCAUGGUGGAUGCCUUGGCAUAGUAGGCCGAU